Long non-coding RNA from Bombus pyrosoma, 1764 nucleotides. RefSeq lists it as uncharacterized. The record is from RefSeq and is a predicted model, not a curated record. The transcript has 3 exons. Lineage: Eukaryota; Metazoa; Arthropoda; Insecta; Hymenoptera; Apidae.
UUGAUCGAAACAACGAUCUUCUUCUUGCGACUUUAUCGAAAUUGGGGGACGUAUCGAGACGCUGAAACCUUUUCUCCAAUUUCAAAUGUUAUUGCGUACUGUUAUAGUUGCGGGCGUAUCUUUAGAGAUUAUUAUCGCAUCCGGUCUGACGAUCGUCGUUGUGCCAUUGUCAGCUCGGUACCAGAGACGAACGGUACUUUGUCAAGAGGCGUGUGUUACACGAAAGUAGGUACAUGUGUCUGGCGCUACGUCCAACUGUCGCAUACGUAUGACGGUAUGUGCCAAGCGCCGUAUCGAAGAGAUUGAGAAACUACGUUAUACGUUUGCGUAUAUACAGUAUGUAGUUUGUGACGGUUAAUCUCGAAUAAGGAAGCGCGGUAUUUAGUAGCGGUUGCUGUACUCGACGAAACAAAGAGAAGAUACCGCGAUUAUACGACUACAGCAAUUAUAAUUAAAAAAACUUAUGCGUUUCAUCGAUCUACCGCCUGAAAUUUGCCCCAUGUCGCGUACAUAUACGAUCAAAAAUGAUGUAUCGAAAAAGAUAUACACGUGUAACGCAACGACGAAUUUAAAUGUAGAGAAUACGCGAAUAACGGCAAGGUACAUAUCAUUACCGUUAUACUUUGCGACUAAACCAGACGAAAGCGUUGUUCCUUCGCGGAUUUACGAAUCAACGUGUCGCAGUUUAUCUGUAAGUCUUCGGAGGAGACUCUGUUUACGCGAUCAAUCUAUGCAGGUAUAUAUUUGCAUUUCGCGUAGUCGCGAUAGGCAUCGUUCCAUUGCACGAGAAAGGAAUAUAUAUCCGUGUCGAAAAACUCGAAUUAACAUUCGGUUAUCUUGACGUACCUUCUCACUGGACGAAUUUUCCUACCGCGUUCAAGCUGAUCUGAACGCAGGUUUUAUAUCUCGAUAUUAUCGUAUUUGUACGUCUCUAUAUCGCUAUAUUCUCCAAUUGUCCUACAUUCAAAAUUCGUGAAUUUCGAAUCCACGAACCGAACAAAGCGUCUAACUUUACUCCUACGUCAUCGUGUUUCCAGAGAAGAAACGUCAAAGGGUUUCUCCAGCGAAUUCCCAAGAAACAAUAUUCUGUACCUUUGGAAGGGAACGGUUCCCGAACGUAGGUACAUUUUGCGCAAUGCAGGCUCUACAGCGAUACUUUUUCAUCGAUCUCCAUCCAUGGAACACAGAUUUGUGUCGCUACGUCUCGGAUGCGCGCGCGUGCGAACAAACAAGCACUGGCUUGUUACAGCGCUAUAAACACUUGUAGCACUUCUUAUCUCAGAUUUAGCGCAGAGAAACGUUCGCUGUAAAAAUUGUUACCCGGUAUUGGCUUAAAUUAUUUAUCAAUUUAUUCGAUUUACGAAAUCGAAUUUCUAAUUUUCUUGCUUAUUUAUCGAAUUCGUCCUCCAAGUUGUUAGGAAUACCGCAUCGUUGCUAGAAAUCUGCAAACGUUUUAACUAACGUUGAUUCGCGUUAAGUAAUGUUAAAAUUAACGAAACAUAUUUUAAUGUCAACGUUUCGUAUUUUAACCUACUAAUUUUAAUAAUAAAACCUUUGUUGCGAUGAUAUUCUGAUAAUAUUAAAUAGUAUCGAUUUGAAAUUUAUCGCUGGUUCGAACGGUGGUAUUGUUACGAUAAAAUUGGACUAAAGGUCAAAGCGACACGGGUUUCACACAGAUUUGACACUGAUACGACGUUGAUACGACAUGGCUAAAUCGAGGGACGAUACACCGUCUUAUGCGAGAAACGCAUGGUCUCGGAUAAU